UACGUAGGUGGCAAGCGUUAUCCGGAAUUAUUGGGCGUAAAGCGCGCGCAGGCGGUUUUUUAAGUCUGAUGUGAAAGCCCACGGCUCAACCGUGGAGGGUCAUUGGAAACUGGGGAACUUGAGUGCAGAAGAGAAAAGCGGAAUUCCACGUGUAGCGGUGAAAUGCGUAGAGAUGUGGAGGAACACCAGUGGCGAAGGCGGCUCUUUGGUCUGUAACUGACGCUGAGGCGCGAAAGCGUGGGGAUCAAACAGG
This 253-nucleotide ribosomal RNA is filed under the name uncultured bacterium. RNAcentral's name for it is "partial 16S ribosomal RNA". It matches the Rfam family "Bacterial small subunit ribosomal RNA", at positions 524 to 776 of the family's 1533-position model. The record is from RNAcentral.